ACGAACGCUGGCGGCGUGCUUAACACAUGCAAGUCGAACGGAAAGGCCCUGCUUUUGUGGGGUGCUCGAGUGGCGAACGGGUGAGUAACACGUGAGUAACCUGCCCUUGACUUUGGGAUAACUUCAGGAAACUGGGGCUAAUACCGGAUAGGAGCUCCUGCUGCAUGGUGGGGGUUGGAAAGUUUCGGCGGUUGGGGAUGGACUCGCGGCUUAUCAGCUUGUUGGUGGGGUAGUGGCUUACCAAGGCUUUGACGGGUAGCCGGCCUGAGAGGGUGACCGGCCACAUUGGGACUGAGAUACGGCCCAGACUCCUACGGGAGGCAGCAGUGGGGAAUAUUGCGCAAUGGGCGGAAGCCUGAUGCAGCAACGCCGCGUGCGGGAUGACGGCCUUCGGGUUGUGAACCGCUUUCGACUGUGACGAAGCGUGAGUGACGGUAAUGGGUAAAGAAGCACCGGCUAACUACGUG
This 467-nucleotide ribosomal RNA is filed under the name uncultured bacterium. RNAcentral's name for it is "partial 16S ribosomal RNA". It matches the Rfam family "Bacterial small subunit ribosomal RNA", at positions 29 to 507 of the family's 1533-position model. The record is from RNAcentral.